RNAcentral lists this ribosomal RNA (460 nucleotides) under uncultured bacterium. RNAcentral describes it as "bacterial SSU rRNA". It matches the Rfam family "Bacterial small subunit ribosomal RNA", at positions 30 to 509 of the family's 1533-position model. The record is from RNAcentral.
AUUGAACGCUGGCGGCAUGCCUUACACAUGCAAGUCGAACGGCAGCACGGGGGCAACCCUGGUGGCGAGUGGCGAACGGGUGAGUAAUACAUCGGAACGUAUCCUGUAGCGGGGGAUAACCUCUCGAAAGAGAGGCUAAUACCGCAUACGACCUACGGGUGAAAGAGGGGGAUCGCAAGACCUCUCACUAUUGGAGCGGCCGAUGUCGGAUUAGCUAGUUGGCGGGGAACGGCCCACCAAGGCUACGAUCCGUAGCUGGUCUGAGAGGACGACCAGCCACACUGGAACUGAGACACGGUCCAGACUCCUACGGGAGGCAGCAGUGGGGAAUUUUGGACAAUGGGCGCAGGCCUGAUCCAGCCAUGCCGCGUGAGUGAUGAAGGCCCUAGGGUUGUAAAGCUCUUUUACCCGGGAAGAUAAUGACUGUACCGGGAGAAUAAGCCCCGGCUAACUUCGUGCC